This 435-nucleotide unclassified non-coding RNA is filed under the name Hevea brasiliensis (rubber tree). The record is from RNAcentral. Lineage: Eukaryota; Viridiplantae; Streptophyta; Magnoliopsida; Malpighiales; Euphorbiaceae.
UUCUCUAUGGCUGGCACUUCAUUAGGAAUGAGCUCCGCAAUGGCCUUCCAAUAAUUAUUAUCUGCCUCAGCAUGGAAUCUCUCCCGGUUGGCAACAAAUACCUGAAAAAGAUGAAGACAAAAUCAUAAGAGUAUAUGCUUCAUUGUUCAAUCUACAAUCAGAUGUCUGAAAUAGAACUUGCUGUUAAAAUACACAUUUUUGGUAAGGCUACCCUUGCAAAAAGCAAUUUACUGCCCAGAAAAAAAUAUUAUCUAACCAGCUGCCGAAAUAACAUCCCAGCUAGCUAUUCAACUUCCAGAAUUCAUGUUCGUCAAAAAUUUAGGUUUUAGCAUAAAGGUCUCAAACAUUUCCCUUCCUCAGUAUGCGUCACAUGGUUGUGCAGCUUUCCUUCUAAAGUCAUGGGAAUGUCAAAUUUAAAAAAAAAAAAAGAAAAGA